UGGGGAAUAUUGCACAAUGGGCGCAAGCCUGAUGCAGCCAUGCCGCGUGUGUGAAGAAGGCCUUCGGGUUGUAAAGCACUUUCAGCGGGGAGGAAGGCGGUGAGGUUAAUAACCUCAUCGAUUGACGUUACCCGCAGAAGAAGCACCGGCUAACUCCGUGCCAGCAGCCGCGGUAAUACGGAGGGUGCAAGCGUUAAUCGGAAUUACUGGGCGUAAAGCGCACGCAGGCGGUCUGUCAAGUCGGAUGUGAAAUCCCCGGGCUCAACCUGGGAACUGCAUUCGAAACUGGCAGGCUAGAGUCUUGUAGAGGGGGGUAGAAUUCCAUGUGUAGCGAUGAAAUGCGUAGAGAUGUGGAGGAAUACCGGUGGCGGAGGCGGCUCCCUGGACAAAGACUGACGCUCAGGUGCGAAAGCGUGGGGAGCAAACAGG
RNAcentral lists this ribosomal RNA (429 nucleotides) under Chloroflexota bacterium. RNAcentral's name for it is "Chloroflexi bacterium partial 16S ribosomal RNA". It matches the Rfam family "Bacterial small subunit ribosomal RNA", at positions 355 to 776 of the family's 1533-position model. Lineage: Bacteria; Bacillati; Chloroflexota. The record is from RNAcentral.